GUUCUACAGGAGAUAAUGUUUCUUGAACGCUCUCUCCAGCUGGGAGCAGCGUUUUUUAGACGGAAACUAGAGAGGAGCUGCCUCUUCGAUUUCCUUACGCACAUGUUACACAUUUUAUUACAUUGUGCACUAAACAUGUAUUCUUCUGCUGUGGAUAUCUGAUAAGGCAUCCUCAAGAAGUCAAUGGGAACAAAGGGCCAUUGAUUUAAUUUCCAAUGAGGCUUCCUCUACUCUAAAUAAGCCUCAUCAAUUUCUUAAGAUGUGGGACCCCUUCGUGAACCAACUCCGUCAAAACAAAAUGCUAAUUUCAGUACUGUCAGGCCUGGCCUGGCGCGAUUCAGCUACUUGAGGACAAAUCUACUUUAUGUAGGUGGUUUGUACUCAUACUUGACCUCUGUGAUUGUGUAGUCUGACGCUUAUUGUGGGUCUAUGAUCUGUAUACUGAUUAAUGGUAUUUUAUUUCUUUUUUUUAUUGUUGUCUUGUCUGUCUGUCUGUCUGUCUGUCUGUCUGUCUGUCUGUCUGUCUGUCAAUUGUGCUCUUCAUUCUCCUGUGUCUAGUGUUUUUUUGCCUUGUUUUCUUCUAUGAUAUAUUUAGUGUAUUUUUAUUACUCUGUAAAAGCCACAAAAGUUCAUUCAAAUUAUAUUAAAAAAUAUAUAUAAUAAAAAUAUAUAAAAUAUAUAAUUUAAAAAAUACUGGCAUAAUCAGUGAAAAGCUGAUUGGCAUUAGCGUUAGUACGCUAACGAGCCUAGCUGCCCCUCCCUGCUGCUCUAGGCAGGUUCACAGUGUUAGCACACUAACUAGCCUAGCUUCCCUCCCUGCUGCUCUAGGCAGGUUCACAGUGUUAGCACACUAACUAGCCUAGCUGCUCCCCCCUGCUGCUCUAGGCAGGUUCACAGUGUUAGCACACUAACUAGCCUAGCUGCUCCUCCCUGCUGCUCUAGGCAGGUUCACAGUGUUAGCACACUAACUAGCCUAGCUGCUCUAGGCAGGUUCACAGUGUUAGCACACUAACUAGCCUAGCUGCCCCUCCCUGCUUCUCUAGGCAGGUUCACAGUGUCCUUUCCUUAAAACAAAGACACACUUUGGCCCAGAAACCGGAUACACUCCCACUUCUCCUCCUUCUCUCUCUGCCUUUCUCCUUCUCUCAAUCUCCACCUCACACUUUCUUUCUCCCCUUCUCCCUCCUCACCCCGUCACUCUUUCCCUAUUUCUUUUUCUGCUUCUCUUUCUCCCUUCUCCUUCGCUCAACCCUCUCUUUCCUUCCCACCUCUCCUUUUCCUUCUCUUUCUUAUUCUCUCCAUUUCUCUCUCCCCACUGGUUUCACUUAAUAAGCUUCAAAGGGUUUCUGGGCAACGUGGUAUCUUAAAAAAAGUAACCAUGGCAUUUAUUUGGCACACAACAUCUUCCCUCUUUCUGAGGAUAUGGGGGUUGCCAUGACAUCGGUGGGCACCUUAUAAAGCACACCAUUGUUGCUGUUUGUGUGUGUGUGUGUGUGUGUGUGUGUGUGUGUGUGUGUGUGUCAGGCGUCUUGUGCCAGCUUGGUCUAAACGCUCAGGCUCCUCAUAUGAAACGCAGAACGUUGCCUAUGCCAGGGAGGAGAGAAUACAAUUAUACCGGCCAACUCAUGCUUACCAGACUAGUCACACACAUUCUCUCUCCUUUACUCUCCCUCCCUCUGACACACACAACUGAAAGGUUACACAUACAGCGUUCACACUAAACUACGAUAAUUCUAUAAGAUAAAAUGUCGUGGUUAGGGGCGAUAUAGGCC
Oncorhynchus tshawytscha (Chinook salmon) is the source of this 1772-nucleotide long non-coding RNA. NCBI's taxonomy places the organism in Eukaryota, Metazoa, Chordata, Actinopteri, Salmoniformes, Salmonidae. The record is from Ensembl.